ACUUUUUUUUUUUUUUUUUUUUUUUUUUUUUUUUUUUUUUUUUUUUUUUUUUUUUUUGUUUAAUGCACCUUUAA
RNAcentral lists this non-coding RNA (74 nucleotides) under Alexandrium minutum. Lineage: Eukaryota; Dinophyceae; Gonyaulacales; Pyrocystaceae. The record is from RNAcentral.